GACGAACGCUGGCGGCGUGCCUAAUACAUGCAGGUAGAACGCUGAAGGAGGAGCUUGCUUCUCUGGAUGAGUUGCGAACGGGUGAGUAACGCGUAGGUAACCUGCCUGGUAGCGGGGGAUAACUAUUGGAAACGAUAGCUAAUACCGCAUAAUAGUAGAUGUUGCAUGACAUUUACUUAAAAGGUGCAAUUGCAUCACUACCAGAUGGACCUGCGUUGUAUUAGCUAGUUGGUGGGGUAACGGCUCACCAAGGCGACGAUACAUAGCCGACCUGAGAGGGUGAUCGGCCACACUGGGACUGAGACACGGCCCAGACUCCUACGGGAGGCAGCAGUAGGGAAUCUUCGGCAAUGGACGAAAGUCUGACCGAGCAACGCCGCGUGAGUGAAGAAGGUUUUCGGAUCGUAAAGCUCUGUUGUAAGAGAAGAACGAGUGUGAGAGUGGAAAGUUCACACUGUGACGGUAUCUUACCAGAAAGGGACGGCUAACUACGUG
This 495-nucleotide ribosomal RNA is filed under the name uncultured bacterium. Its description in RNAcentral is "partial 16S ribosomal RNA". It matches the Rfam family "Bacterial small subunit ribosomal RNA", at positions 28 to 507 of the family's 1533-position model. The record is from RNAcentral.